GGGAAUGUGGCUUAGUGGUAGAGUGCUUGCCUAGUAUGCAUGAAGCUCUGGAUUCAAUUUCUCAGUACCA
This is a non-coding RNA of Dipodomys ordii (Ord's kangaroo rat), 70 nucleotides long. NCBI's taxonomy places the organism in Eukaryota, Metazoa, Chordata, Mammalia, Rodentia, Heteromyidae. The record is from Rfam.